AUGAUGAUCAUAUCAUUCUUGGAACUACUUCCAACACCCAUUGUUACUUCACCAUUAACUAGUCUCUGUUCAUUCCGCAACUCCUGUUUGAAGUUACUAAUUUUUAGCAACCAAACAAGUAUCAAAUACCCAAGGGCUACUAUGAACACUAGUAAGGUACACGUCAAUAACCUGUAUGUCAAAUAUACCCUUGUUCACUUUGCCAUCCUUCUUAUCUACCAAAUAUUCAGGGCAUUUACGCUUCUUCACGGAAGUAACAACUUGCUUGCCAUUGUACAUGAAGUUCCCUUUCUUUCCCUUUGCCCUUUUCUUGAAACUAGUGGUCUUGUUAAUCAUCAACACUUGAUGCACUUUCUUGAUUUCUACCUUCAUCGAUUUCAUCAUCAUGAAAAGCUCGGGAAUCGUUUUCGUCAUCCCUUGCAUACUAUAGUUCAUCAUGAAGUUCUACUAACUUGGUGA
This 459-nucleotide ribosomal RNA is filed under the name Triticum aestivum (bread wheat). Its description in RNAcentral is "partial small subunit ribosomal RNA". The record is from RNAcentral. Lineage: Eukaryota; Viridiplantae; Streptophyta; Magnoliopsida; Poales; Poaceae.